Molecule: ribosomal RNA, 253 nt
Filed under: uncultured bacterium
Lineage: Bacteria
Description: partial 16S ribosomal RNA
Rfam family: Bacterial small subunit ribosomal RNA
Source: RNAcentral
UACGAGGGGGGCAAGCGUUGUUCGGAAUUAUUGGGCGUAAAGGGUGCGUAGGCGGUUCGGUAAGUCUUAUGUGAAAUCUACAGGCUCAACUUGUAGUCUGCAUGAGAAACUGCCGGGCUUGAGUAUGGGAGAGGUGAGCGGAGUUCCUGGUGUAGCGGUGAAAUGCGUAGAUAUCAGGAGGAACACCUGUGGCGAAAGCGGCUCACUGGACCAUAACUGACGCUGAUGCACGAAAGCUAGGGGAGCAAACAGG